GUCCACUUGACUCCAAAUCCAGUGCUCUUCUCCCCCACGUGUCUUUGCCCCAACACUGCCUUAAAGCAAAUCGGUAUCUUUCAGCAUGUCUUUUCAAGCCUCCUGAUUUGCUCUUUUUUGCCCUGACUCAGCUACCCAGUGCUUCAUCCUGGCAGUGUGGCAUUUCAGGCACAGGAGCCUAGCUGUGGAGAGACCUGCCCUCUGGCUGGCAUACCUCUCUGGUCCUUCGAAUCGCCAAAUUCCAAAAGGGGAAUAUGCCUUGGAAGAGGACUGUUGGAAGCCAUUUUCUGAACUCACUAAGUCGAGGAAAAAAAAAACACAACAAACUCCUUGUGAGCUGACUGUCCGGUCAGAGCAGAGAUGCCUGCCUGGUGAGCAGAAAGAAGCUCUCUGACUCCCCUUCACCGGUACCGUCC
This 416-nucleotide long non-coding RNA is filed under the name Suricata suricatta (meerkat). RNAcentral's name for it is "lncRNA (ENSSSUG00005006229.1)". Lineage: Eukaryota; Metazoa; Chordata; Mammalia; Carnivora; Herpestidae. The record is from RNAcentral.